ACACUUACCUGGCAGGGAAGAUACCAUAAUCACCAAGGUGGUUUUCCUGAUAUGAAUGACUCAUCCAGCUCAUUCCACACACAUACUAAUCCCAAAAUGGCAAAACUAGAUGGCAUAAUUGGUGGUCAUGAGCCCAUGUUCACACUGUU
Molecule: small nuclear RNA, 149 nt
Organism: Heterocephalus glaber (naked mole-rat)
Lineage: Eukaryota; Metazoa; Chordata; Mammalia; Rodentia; Bathyergidae
Gene: U1
Rfam family: U1 spliceosomal RNA
About the family: U1 is a small nuclear RNA (snRNA) component of the spliceosome (involved in pre-mRNA splicing). Its 5' end forms complementary base pairs with the 5' splice junction, thus defining the 5' donor site of an intron.
Source: Ensembl